GCUUAACACAUGCAAGUCGAGGGGCAGCAUGGUCUUAGCUUGCUAAGGCCGAUGGCGACCGGCGCACGGGUGAGUAACACGUAUCCAACCUGCCGUCUACUCUUGGACAGCCUUCUGAAAGGAAGAUUAAUACAAGAUGGCAUCAUGAGUCCGCAUGUUCACAUGAUUAAAGGUAUUCCGGUAGACGAUGGGGAUGCGUUCCAUUAGAUAGUAGGCGGGGUAACGGCCCACCUAGUCUUCGAUGGAUAGGGGUUCUGAGAGGAAGGUCCCCCACAUUGGAACUGAGACACGGUCCAAACUCCUACGGGAGGCAGCAGUGAGGAAUAUUGGUCAAUGGGCGAGAGCCUGAACCAGCCAAGUAGCGUGAAGGAUGACUGCCCUAUGGGUUGUAAACUUCUUUUAUAAAGGAAUAAAGUCGGGUAUGGAUACCCGUUUGCAUGUACUUUAUGAAUAAGGAUCGGCUAACUCCGUGCCAGCAGCCGCGGUAAUACGGAGGAUCCGAGCGUUAUCCGGAUUUAUUGGGUUUAAAGGGAGCGUAGAUGGAUGUUUAAGUCAGUUGUGAAAGUUUGCGGCUCAACCGUAAAAUUGCAGUUGAUACUGGAUAUCUUGAGUGCAGUUGAGGCAGGCGGAAUUCGUGGUGUAGCGGUGAAAUGCUUAGAUAUCACGAAGAACUCCGAUUGCGAAGGCAGCCUGCUAAGCUGCAACUGACAUUGAGGCUCGAAAGUGUGGGUAUCAAACAGGAUUAGAUACCCUGGUAGUCCACACGGUAAACGAUGAAUACUCGCUGUUUGCGAUAUACUGCAAGCGGCCAAGCGAAAGCGUUAAGUAUUCCACCUGGGGAGUACGCCGGCAACGGUGAAACUCAAAGGAAUUGACGGGGGCCCGCACAAGCGGAGGAACAUGUGGUUUAAUUCGAUGAUACGCGAGGAACCUUACCCGGGCUUAAAUUGCAGAUGAAUUACGGUGAAAGCCGUAAGCCGCAAGGCAUCUGUGAAGGUGCUGCAUGGUUGUCGUCAGCUCGUGCCGUGAGGUGUCGGCUUAAGUGCCAUAACGAGCGCAACCCUUGUUGUCAGUUACUAACAGGUUCCGCUGAGGACUCUGACAAGACUGCCAUCGUAAGAUGUGAGGAAGGUGGGGAUGACGUCAAAUCAGCACGGCCCUUACGUCCGGGGCUACACACGUGUUACAAUGGGGGGUACAGAGGGCCGCUACCACGCGAGUGGAUGCCAAUCCCAAAAACCUCUCUCAGUUCGGACUGGAGUCUGCAACCCGACUCCACGAAGCUGGAUUCGCUAGUAAUCGCGCAUCAGCCACGGCGCGGUGAAUACGUUCCCGGGCCUUGUACACACCGCCCGUCAAGCCAUGGGAGCCGGGGGUACCUGAAGUGCGUAACCGCGAGGAGCGCCCUAGGGUAAAACUGGUGACUGGGGC
Molecule: ribosomal RNA, 1431 nt
Filed under: uncultured organism
Description: 16S ribosomal RNA
Rfam family: Bacterial small subunit ribosomal RNA
Source: RNAcentral